Molecule: ribosomal RNA, 253 nt
Filed under: uncultured bacterium
Lineage: Bacteria
Description: partial 16S ribosomal RNA
Rfam family: Bacterial small subunit ribosomal RNA
Source: RNAcentral
GACAGAGGGUGCAAACGUUGUUCGGAAUUACUGGGCGUAAAGCGCGUGUAGGCGGCAGGGCAUGUCGGAUGUGAAAUCCCGUGGCUCAACCACGGAAGUGCACCCGAAACUGCCCAGCUUGAGUCUCGGAGAGGAAGGCGGAAUGCUUGGUGUAGAGGUGAAAUUCGUAGAUAUCAAGCGGAACACCCGUGGCGAAGGCGGUUCUCUGGGACGGUACUGACGCUGAGACGCGAAAGCGUGGGGAGCAAACAGG